RNAcentral lists this small RNA (623 nucleotides) under Oryza sativa Japonica Group (Japanese rice). RNAcentral's name for it is "sRNA Os12g0290800". Lineage: Eukaryota; Viridiplantae; Streptophyta; Magnoliopsida; Poales; Poaceae. The record is from RNAcentral.
UGCUGUUUUCGUUUCCGUGCUGUUCGAAUUGUUGCCGAGGUGUUGGAUUAUAUUUGUAGAUAACGGACGAACGGUUUUCGGCCCCCUUCAGUUAGAUGUUGGAUGCGUUUCUUAUCCAGUAGCUGGAUGUUCAGUUUUGGACGGUUUAGAUGGAUUUCUAGCUGCUUGCUACCUCGAAUUAGGUGGAUUGGGAGGCGGUGCUACGGGGGUUUUGACUUGUUUUGUUGGUUUGUGCGAUAUGCUAGUAGUUGGCUAGGAUGUGUUUAGCUGCAAGACUGAUAGCUUGCUCGAGCACAACCAUUAGGAUUGAUUGUGCGGGGUGGAUGGGGCGUGCAUGACUGCUGUUGUCUCCACUCUAGGAUCGCUGGAAAGAGGCCUUUUGGCCCUCUAUUAAAAAAAAAAACAGAACUGAAACUCUGAUCUGUUGUCCUUUUCUUGAUUGUGCUUGCUUGUUUGGUUAAAGUUUCAGGGUGUAUGAAUCUCAUGCAUGUGUCAAACAUACAAAUCUUCCUAUGAAAAAGAGUAGAUGUUUUCUUUUCCAGACGUUCGAGAGUAAAAUUAUAUGCCAUGGAGAUGCGUAAGAAGUAGUGUUUUUGUUGGGAAGUGGGAGCAAGGUAAAGUAG